GACGAACGCUGGCGGCGUGCCUAAUACAUGCAAGUAGAACGCUGAAGAGAGGAGCUUGCUCUUCUUGGAUGAGUUGCGAACGGGUGAGUAACGCGUAGGUAACCUGCCUUGUAGCGGGGGGAAAACUAUUGGAAAGGUAGGCUAUACCCGAUAACCAUGGAUUGCACAAUUUAUUUUUUUUAAAGGGGCAAAUUGCUCACCUACAGAUGGACCUGCGUUGUAUUAGCUAGUAGGUGAGGUAAUGGCUCACCUAGGCGACGAUACAUAGCCGACCUGAGAGGGUGAUCGGCCACACUGGGACUGAGACACGGCCCAGACUCCUACGGGAGGCAGCAGUAGGGAAUCUUCGGCAAUGGGGGCAACCCUGACCGAGCAACGCCGCGUGAGUGAAGAAGGUUUUCGGAUCGUAAAGCUCUGUUGUAAGUCAAGAACGGGUGUGAGAGUGGAAAGUUCACACUGUGACGGUAGCUUACCAGAAAGGGACGGCUAACUACGU
Molecule: ribosomal RNA, 496 nt
Filed under: uncultured bacterium
Lineage: Bacteria
Description: partial 16S ribosomal RNA
Rfam family: Bacterial small subunit ribosomal RNA
Source: RNAcentral